GCUUUAAGCUUAGAGAGUGGAGGUGGCUUUAGGCUUAGAGAGUGGAGGUGGCUUUAGGCUUAGAGAGUGGAGGUGGCUUUAGGCUUAGAGAGUGGAGGUGGCUUUAGGCUUAGAGAGUGGAGGUGGCUUUAGGCUUAGAGAGUGGAGGUGGCUUUAGGCUUAGAGAGUGGAGGUGUCUUUAGGCUUAGAGAGUGGAGGUGUCUUUAGGCUUAGAGAGUGGAGGUGGCUUUAGGCUUAGAGAGUGGAGGUGUCUUUAGGCUUAUAGAGUGGAGGUGUCUUUAGGCUUAGAGAGUGGAGGUGUCUUUAGGCUUAGAGAGUGGAGGUGUCUUUAGGCUUAGAGAGUGGAGGUGUCUUUAGGCUUAUAGAGUGGUGGCUUUAGGAUUAGAGAGUGGAGGUGUCUUUAGGCUUAGAGAGUGGAGGUGUCUUUAGGCUUAUAGAGUGGUGGCUUUAGGAUUAGACGUUGGGUUUCGGGUUAGAGAGUGGAGGUGGCUUCAGGCUUAGAGAGUGGAGGUGGCUUUAGGCUUAGAGAGUGGAGGUGGCUUUAGGCUUAGAGAGUGGAGGUGGCUUUAGGCUUAGAGAGUGGAGGUGUCUUUAGGCUUAGAGAGUGGAGGUGUCUUUAGGCUUAGAGAGUGGUGGCUUUAGGAUUAGAGAGUGGAGGUGGCUUUAGGCUUAUAGAGUGUUGGCUUUAGGAUUAGAGAGUGGAGGUGUCUUUAGGCUUAUAGAGUGGUGGCUUUAGGAUUAGAGAGUGGAGGUGUCUUUAGGCUUAUAGAGUGGUGGCUUUAGGAUUAGAGAGUGGAGGUGUCUUUAGGCUUAUAGAGUGGUGGCUUUAGGCUUAGAGAGUGGAGGUGUCUUUAGGCUUAGAGAGUGGAGGUGUCUUUAGGCUUAGAGAGUGGAGGUGGCUUUAGGCUUAGAGAGUGGAGGUGUCUUUAGGCUUAGAGAGUGGAGGUGGCUUUAGGCUUAGAGAGUGGAGGUGUCUUUAGGCUUAUAGAGUGGUGGUGGCUUUAGGCUUAGAGAGUGGAGGUAGCUUUAGGCUUAGAGAGUGGAGGUGGCUUCAGGCUUAGAGAGUGGAGGUGUCUUUAGGCUUAUAGAGUGGUGGCUUUAGGCUUAGAGAGUGGUGGCUUUAGGCUUAGAGAGUGGAGGUGUCUUUAGGCUUAGAGAGUGGUGGCUUUAGGAUUAGAGAGUGGAGGUGUCUUUAGGCUUAUAGAGUGGAGGUGUCUUUAGGCUUAUAGAGUGGUGGCUUUAGGAUUAGAGAGUGGAGGUGGCUUUAGGCUUAGAGAGUGGAGGUGGCUUUAGGCUUAGAGAGUGGAGGUGUCUUUAGGCUUAGAGAGUGGAGGUGGCUUUAGGCUUAGAGAGUGGAGGUAGCUUUAGGCUUAGAGAGUGGUGGCUUUAGGAUUAGAGAGUGGAGGUGUCUUUAGGCUUAUAGAGUGGUGGCUUUAGGAUUAGAGAGUGGAGGUGUCUUUAGGCUUAUAGAGUGGAGGUGUCUUUAGGCUUAUAGAGUGGAGGUGUCUUUAGGCUUAUAGAGUGGAGGUGUCUUUAGGCUUAUAGAGUGGUGGCUUUAGGAUUAGAGAGUGGAGGUGGCUUUAGGCUUAUAGAGUGGUGGCUUUAGGAUUAGAGAGUGGAGGUGGCUUUAGGCUUAUAGAGUGGUGUCUUUAGGCUUAGAGAGUGGAGGUGUCUUUAGGCUUAGAGAGUGGAGGUGUCUUUAGGCUUAUAGAGUGGAGGUGUCUUUAGGCUUAUAGAGUGGUGGCUUUAGGAUUAGAGAGUGGAGGUGUCUUUAGGAUUAGAGAGUGGAGGUGGCUUUAGGCUUAGAGAGUGGGGGUGUCUUUAGGCUUAGAGAGUGGAGGUGUCUUUAGGCUUAGAGAGUGGAGGUGUCUUUAGGCUUAUAGAGUGGAGGUGUCUUUAGGCUUAUAGAGUGGUGGCUUUAGGCUUAGAGAGUGGUGGCUUUAGGCUUAGAGAGUGGAGGUGGCUUUAGGCUUAGAGAGUGGUGGCUUUAGGCUUAGAGAGUGGAGGUGGCUUUAGGCUUAGAGAGUGGAGGUGGCUUUAGGCUUAGAGAGUGGAGGUGGCUUUAGGCUUAGAGAGUGGAGGUGGCUUUAGGCUUAUAGAGUGGAGGUGGCUUUAGGCUUAGAGAGUGGAGGUGGCUUUAGGCUUAUAGAGUGGAGGUGGCUUUAGGCUUAGAGAGUGGAGGUGGCUUUAGGCUUAGAGAGUGGUGGCUUUAGGCUUAGAGAGUGGAGGUGGCUUUAGGCUUAGAGAGUGGAGGUGGCUUUAGGCUUAGAGAGUGGAGGUGGCUUUAGGCUUAGAGAGUGGAGGUGGCUUUAGGCUUAGAGAGUGGAGGUGGCUUUAGGCUUAGAGAGUGGAGGUGGCUUUAGGCUUAGAGAGUGGAGGUGGCUUUAGGCUUAGAGAGUGGAGGUGGCUUUAGGCUUAGAGAGUGGAGGUGGCUUUAGGCUUAGAGAGUGGUGGCUUUAGGCUUAGAGAGUGGAGGUGGCUUUAGGCUUAGAGAGUGGAGGUGUCUUUAGGCUUAUAGAGUGGUGUCUUUAGGCUUAGAGAGUGGAGGUGUCUUUAGGCUUAUAGAGUGGUGUCUUUAGGCUUAUAGAGUGGAGGUGUCUUUAGGCUUAGAGAGUGGAGGUGGCUUUAGGAUUAGAGAGUGGAGGUGGCUUUAGGAUUAGAGAGUGGAGGUGGCUUUAGGAUUAGAGAGUGGAGGUGGCUUUAGGAUUAGAGAGUGGAGGUGGCUUUAGGAUUAGAGAGUGGAGGUGGCUUUAGGCUUAGAGAGUGGAGGUGUCUUUAGGCUUAUAGAGUGGUGGCUUUAGGAUUAGACGUUGGGUUUCGGGUUAGAGAGUGGAGACGGUCAGACAGGAUCAGAUUAACAGGGAGAGGAGGGGGCUGAGAGACUCGUAUGUCAGCAGGUCUGUCAAAUACCCGUACAUGUUCGUGGUUUGUCCAUACAGCCAGACAGUACAUAUUUAGUCCACAAUAACAUUUGGACCAGAUUUCUGUUUUCAACAGUCAGAGCAGUGAUGUCAUAGCAUGAGCUGAAUGACAGUGUAGAUCCCCUACUGGUGAUGUCAUAUCCCCUAGUGAUCUUCUUUUUCAUCUGCUGCCCUAGGUAUAUCAACAAGGCACGUUGUCUCUUCAUACUAGGCUGUACUGUCCAGCCCCAUGGUAGAGUAUCUCCAUGCUAGGCUGUACUGUCCAGCCCAAUGGUAGAGUCUCUCCAUGCUAGGCUGUACUGUCCAGCCCAAUGGUAGAGUCUCUCCAUGCUAGGCUGUACUGUCCAGCCCCAAUGGUAGAGUCUCUCCAUGCUAGGCUGUACUGUCCAGCCCAAUGGUAGAGUCUCUCCAUGCUAGGCUGUACUGUCCAGCCCAAUGGUAGAGUCUCUCCAUGCUAGGCUGUACUGUCCAGCCCAAUGGUAGAGUCUCUCCAUGCUAGGCUGUACUGUCCAGCCCAAUGGUAGAGUCUCUCCAUGCUAGGCUGUACUGUCCAGCCCCAUGGUAGAGUCUCUCCAUG
Long non-coding RNA from Oncorhynchus keta (chum salmon), 3498 nucleotides. RefSeq lists it as uncharacterized. NCBI's taxonomy places the organism in Eukaryota, Metazoa, Chordata, Actinopteri, Salmoniformes, Salmonidae. The transcript has 3 exons. The record is from RefSeq and is a predicted model, not a curated record.